CACACGUCCCGCAGCCCCAGCGGGCCCGCCCCCGCCAGCCCUGGGGCGCACGCGGGCGCGCACUGCGAGGUCGCGGUCCCGGGGUGGGGGCUGCAGCCGUGUCCCGCUCUCCGCCUUUAGCCCUCAGGCUGCGAGGCCCGAGUCCAUCCGGGGUUCGCGAUUGGAGCGCCCACCGCGUGCCCAGCACAGAGCGCAACAGAAAGAAGCUGAAAAGCCGUGGCUCAGAGCCACGUCCAGAGCUCUGGCUGAGCUGGAAGUGAGAAAAUUGACAUCUCGACAUUCAGGAGAAGCAAAAAGAUGAUGAAGAAGAAGAAAUAGUCCAGGUUGCUUUUGCAGUUGCUGUUCUCACUUCUUGGAAUGCUGUUCCUCUUGGCUUACUACAUUUCUUGAACAUCUUCAUUCCUGUUGCUACGCAACUGUUGGCUUCUCGAUGCCUCUGCCUGCUCUCUACCUACGUGAAGUCUCUCCUGGCAUACUCAAAACAGUCUUUCCCCACUCUCUAUGGGGACCUCUUCUUCCUUAUUGCUCUGUUCCUGAUAAAAGUCCUCAGUUUUCAUCAGCUACUGUGGGAAAACAAGCCAACUCAAUAAAGCCACAUUAAAGGGGAGACUGUGAAACUGAGCUCUACCUGGUCAUAGAUGUAUGCUCAUUUGCCUAAGCACGUAUGACUGUCAAAGACAAACACCACUGGACACUAAGAAAAGUGGUGAAAACAUACUAUUCAGUGACUGCUGACAGGAGAGGAACUGAUUGAGCUCACUCCUAUUUGUGCAGAGGUAAUUUGGGCAUUUUAAAGGCAGAAGAAGGAGAAGGCAGGGCAGGGGUACGGUAGUGUCAGAGAAAUGAAAAAUUACAAAAGAUCAGUCAGUGUACGUGCGAUUAGGUCAGCUGGG
Molecule: long non-coding RNA, 893 nt
Organism: Heterocephalus glaber (naked mole-rat)
Lineage: Eukaryota; Metazoa; Chordata; Mammalia; Rodentia; Bathyergidae
Source: Ensembl